RNAcentral lists this ribosomal RNA (253 nucleotides) under uncultured bacterium. Its description in RNAcentral is "partial 16S ribosomal RNA". It matches the Rfam family "Bacterial small subunit ribosomal RNA", at positions 524 to 776 of the family's 1533-position model. The record is from RNAcentral.
UACGGAAGGUCCAGGCGUUAUCCGGAUUUAUUGGGUUUAAAGGGAGCGCAGGCGGACUCUUGAGUCAGUUGUGAAAUACGGCGGCUCAACCGUCGGACUGCAGUUGAUACUGGGAGUCUUGAGUGCACACAGGGAUGCUGGAAUUCAUGGUGUAGCGGUGAAAUGCUCAGAUAUCAUGAAGAACUCCGAUCGCGAAGGCAGGUAUCCGGGGUGCAACUGACGCUGAGGCUCGAAAGUGCGGGUAUCAAACAGG